GAUGAACGCUGGCGGCGUGCCUAAUACAUGCAAGUCGAACGCAUAUCUUCGGAUAUGAGUGGCGAACGGGUGAGUAAUACAUAAGUAACCUGGCCUUAAGAGGGGGAUAACUAUUAGAAAUGAUAGCUAAGACCGCAUAGGUAUGAAGAUCGCAUGAUCGACAUAUUAAAUAUCCCAAGGGAUAGCUGAAGGAUGGACUUAUGGCGCAUUAGCUAGUUGGUAGGGUAACGGCCUACCAAGGCGACGAUGCGUAGCCGACCUGAGAGGGUGGACGGCCACACUGGGACUGAGACACGGCCCAG
RNAcentral lists this ribosomal RNA (302 nucleotides) under uncultured bacterium. RNAcentral's name for it is "bacterial SSU rRNA". It matches the Rfam family "Bacterial small subunit ribosomal RNA", at positions 28 to 334 of the family's 1533-position model. The record is from RNAcentral.